GACGAACGCUGGCGGCGUGCUUAACACAUGCAAGUCGAACGGUGAAGCCCUUCGGGGUGGAUCAGUGGCGAACGGGUGAGUAACACGUGAGCAACCUGCCCCUGGCUCUGGGACAACCACUGGAAACGGUGGCUAAUACCGGAUACGACCCGCCUCGGCAUCGAGUGUGGGUGGAAAGUUUUUCGGCUGGGGAUGGGCUCGCGGCCUAUCAGCUUGUUGGUGAGGUGAAGGCUCACCAAGGCGACGACGGGUAGCCGGCCUGAGAGGGCGACCGGCCACACUGGGACUGAGACACGGCCUAGACUCCUACGGGAGGCAGCAGUGGGGAAUAUUGCACAAUGGGCGAAAGCCUGAUGCAGCGACGCCGCGUGAGGGAUGACGGCCUUCGGGUUGUAAACCUCUUUCAGCUCCGAAGAAGCGAAAGUGACGGUAGGAGCAGAAGAAGCACCGGCUAACUACGUG
RNAcentral lists this ribosomal RNA (462 nucleotides) under uncultured bacterium. RNAcentral's name for it is "partial 16S ribosomal RNA". It matches the Rfam family "Bacterial small subunit ribosomal RNA", at positions 28 to 507 of the family's 1533-position model. The record is from RNAcentral.